RNAcentral lists this ribosomal RNA (703 nucleotides) under Liangdongia dryadoides. RNAcentral describes it as "LSU rRNA". It matches the Rfam family "Eukaryotic large subunit ribosomal RNA", at positions 1 to 706 of the family's 3401-position model. The record is from RNAcentral. Lineage: Eukaryota; Fungi; Ascomycota; Saccharomycetes; Phaffomycetales; Wickerhamomycetaceae.
CAAGUUCGACCUCAAAUCAGACAAGAGUACCCGCUGAACUUAAGCAUAUCAAUAAGCGGAGGAAAAGAAACCAACAGGGAUUGCCUCAGUAACGGCGAGUGAAGCGGCAAAAGCUCAAAUUUGAAAUCUGGUAGUUUUUAACUGCUCGAGUUGUAAUUUGAAGAGCUUAACCUUGGGCACAGGCUCUGUCUAUGUUUCUUGGAACAGGACGUCACAGAGGGUGAGAAUCCCGUGAGGUGGGGCUAUUGUGUUCUUGUAGGUUUUGUUCGACGAGUCGAGUUGUUUGGGAAUGCAGCUCUAAGUGGGUGGUAAAUUCCAUCUAAAGCUAAAUAUUGGCGAGAGACCGAUAGCGAACAAGUACAGUGAUGGAAAGAUGAAAAGAACUUUGAAAAGAGAGUGAAAAAGUACGUGAAAUUGUUGAAAGGGAAGGGCAUUAGAUGAGACUUGGUAAUUCAGGCACAUCCUCCUCUUGUAGGGGGUGCACUCCUGAUAUUACUGGGCCAGCAUCGAUUCGCGCGGUGGGAUAAUGCUUCUUGAAUGUGGCUACAUUUUUUGUGUAGUGUUAUAGCUUGGAGAGAUACUGCCAGUGUGGAUCGAGGCUUGCGUCUUUUUAGACUAGGAUGCUGGCGUAAUGAUCUAAUGUCGCCCGUCUUGAAACACGGACCAAGGAGUCUAACGUCUAUGCGAGUGUUUGGGUGUAAAA